This 323-nucleotide long non-coding RNA is filed under the name Anser brachyrhynchus (Pink-footed goose). RNAcentral describes it as "lncRNA (ENSABRG00000002778.1)". Lineage: Eukaryota; Metazoa; Chordata; Aves; Anseriformes; Anatidae. The record is from RNAcentral.
AACAAUUGUCCUCACAAGCAAAACAUCAUUUUCAUCAUUAUUCAUCUGCUUUUAAGUGUCGAACUUCGGUGCUUCACAGGAUACAAAAAAAUCAUAGAAUUGCAGAUGCCACUGCUCUGCUCUACAUCUUAAUUCUACACUUAUGGAAGAUGUUUACUUAGGAAUAUACUUGCUGUAAUUAUAAACCAGAAAAGACUUCAACAUGAGGAGGUAUCAAGCAGAUCUAGUAUUGCAAGACUUACUUUCAUCUGUGUUGUCUGGAAGAAAAACAUAGCAUGUGUUGAAGAAGAUGCUUUCCUCAAAGAUUCUUCAGACUUCAAGGG